This 77-nucleotide transfer RNA is filed under the name Oscillospiraceae bacterium. RNAcentral's name for it is "tRNA-Arg". It matches the Rfam family "tRNA". From Rfam's summary of the family: Transfer RNA (tRNA) molecules are approximately 80 nucleotides in length. Their secondary structure includes four short double-helical elements and three loops (D, anti-codon, and T loops). The record is from RNAcentral. Lineage: Bacteria; Bacillati; Bacillota; Clostridia; Eubacteriales; Oscillospiraceae.
GUCUUCGUAGCUCAGUUGGAUAGAGCGUCCGCCUCCUAAGCGGAAGGCCAGCGGUUCGAAUCCGCUCGAGGACACCA